UCUCAGGUCCACAGCCUCACUUCAUCAAAGAAAGCCAUUCUUGACCCUCAUCAGCAGUCAUAUGAAAUGGCAAAAGCCUCUGCCAACAGGAAUGGAGGAAAAAAAUGAGCUUAAAAAAUGUAAACAACUGGCAGUGUUAAAUACAGAGGGUCCAGAGCUGGAGAAACGACUUUCUCUUAAUUUAUCUGCAUUUCCUGCCCUGUGGCCUGCAGUGACAUUCAAUGGGCUAACUGACACCAACUAAUAGCUGACCUGUGGAAAUAAUAGUGAAUUUUCCUGCAGGAUUCAGAAGCCAGCUAGCAGAAGCUUCUGGGUGAGUAUUCUUCUAUUUGCAAAGGGACUUGUAGCACACAGUUUAAUCUUACACAGGGUAAGACU
Serinus canaria (Common canary) is the source of this 378-nucleotide long non-coding RNA. RefSeq lists it as uncharacterized. The transcript is spliced from 3 exons. Lineage: Eukaryota; Metazoa; Chordata; Aves; Passeriformes; Fringillidae. The record is from RefSeq and is a predicted model, not a curated record.